GGUCUUGACAUCCUUCUGACCGGCCUAGAGAUAGGCUUUCUCUUCGGAGCAGAAGUGACAGGUGGUGCAUGGUUGUCGUCAGCUCGUGUCGUGAGAUGUUGGGUUAAGUCCCGCAACGAGCGCCACCCCUAUUGUUAGUUGCCAUCAUUAAGUUGGGCACUCUAGCGAGACUGCCGGUAAUAAACCGGAGGAAGGUGGGGAUGACGUCAAAUCAUCAUGCCCCUUAUGACCUGGGCUACACACGUGCUACAAUGGUUGGUACAACGAGUCGCAAGCCGGUGACGGCAAGCUAAUCUCUUAAAGCCAAUCUCAGUUCGGAUUGUAGGCUGCAACUCGCCUACAUGAAGUCGGAAUCGCUAGUAAUCGCGGAUCAGCACGCCGCGGUGAAUACGUUCCCGGGCCUUGUACACCCCGCCCGUCACACCACGAGAGUUUGUAACACCCGAAGUCGGUGAGGUAACCUUUUAGGAGCCAGCCGCCUAAGGUGGGAUAGAUGAUUGGGGUGAAGUCGUAACAAGGUAGCCGUAUCGGAAGGUGCGGCUGGAUCACCUCCUUUCUAAGGA
This 563-nucleotide ribosomal RNA is filed under the name Streptococcus agalactiae ZQ0910. RNAcentral describes it as "bacterial SSU rRNA". It matches the Rfam family "Bacterial small subunit ribosomal RNA", at positions 977 to 1533 of the family's 1533-position model. Lineage: Bacteria; Bacillati; Bacillota; Bacilli; Lactobacillales; Streptococcaceae. The record is from RNAcentral.